RNAcentral lists this long non-coding RNA (269 nucleotides) under Mytilus galloprovincialis (Mediterranean mussel). The record is from RNAcentral. Lineage: Eukaryota; Metazoa; Mollusca; Bivalvia; Mytilida; Mytilidae.
GUUGUCGAGAGGGGUCCGUUGCUAUUCUUUGGUUGAUAUGUUGUAAUAUACUAUCAUAUUUUUUUUUUUAUUUAUGUGUGUCUCUGUUCUGAUGAUUCUCAUGUUAAGUUGUAUUCCUGUCACGUAAUGGUGCCAUUUUAGUGGUAUUUUUUACAUUGCCAUAUCAGAGGGAGGUUUAGUUAACCAUAAAACCAAGUUCAACCCACCAUUGUUUUCUUAAAAUAUCCGAUACCAAGUCGAGAAUAUGGCAGUUGUUAUCGUAUAGUUUG